UAUUCUGCCCCAUGGGGAAGGAUGAGAAGCUUCGACUAAGGUUCGACUCGAGCGCCAGCGAGAGAACGUUGCCGCAGGCAACGGCCCGAAGGGCGAGGCGCUUUAGCGCCGAGUAAUCCUUCCCCACCACCA
RNAcentral lists this small RNA (132 nucleotides) under Klebsiella pneumoniae. Its description in RNAcentral is "RtT sRNA". It matches the Rfam family "RtT RNA". From Rfam's summary of the family: This family represents a bacterial cis-regulatory element known as RtT RNA. The exact function of RtT is unknown although it is thought that it may be involved in changing the cellular response in relation to amino acid starvation. Lineage: Bacteria; Pseudomonadati; Pseudomonadota; Gammaproteobacteria; Enterobacterales; Enterobacteriaceae. The record is from RNAcentral.